UACGAAGGGGGCUAGCGUUGUUCGGAAUUACUGGGCGUAAAGCGUACGUAGGCGGAUUGUUAAGUGAGGGGUGAAAUCCCGAGGCUCAACCUCGGAACUGCCUUUCAUACUGGCAAUCUUGAGUCCGGGAGAGGUGAGUGGAACUCCUAGUGUAGAGGUGAAAUUCGUAGAUAUUAGGAAGAACACCAGUGGCGAAGGCGGCUCACUGGCCCGGAACUGACGCUGAGGUACGAAAGCGUGGGGAGCAAACAGGAUUAGAAACCCUGGUAGU
Molecule: ribosomal RNA, 271 nt
Filed under: uncultured bacterium
Lineage: Bacteria
Description: partial 16S ribosomal RNA
Rfam family: Bacterial small subunit ribosomal RNA
Source: RNAcentral